This 75-nucleotide transfer RNA is filed under the name bacterium. RNAcentral's name for it is "tRNA-Gly". It matches the Rfam family "tRNA". Rfam says of the family: Transfer RNA (tRNA) molecules are approximately 80 nucleotides in length. Their secondary structure includes four short double-helical elements and three loops (D, anti-codon, and T loops). RNAcentral also lists the same sequence under 7 other names. The record is from RNAcentral.
GCGGGAGUAGCUCAGGGGUAGAGCAUCGGCCUCCCAUGCCGAGGGUCGCGGGUUCGAAUCCCGUCUCCCGCUCCA